RNAcentral lists this ribosomal RNA (483 nucleotides) under uncultured bacterium. Its description in RNAcentral is "partial 16S ribosomal RNA". It matches the Rfam family "Bacterial small subunit ribosomal RNA", at positions 30 to 506 of the family's 1533-position model. The record is from RNAcentral.
AUUGAACGCUGGCGGCAGGCCUAACACGUGCAAGUCGAGCGGAUGAAGGGAGCUUGCUCCUGGAUUCAGCGGCGGACGGGUGAGUAAUGCCUAGGAAUCUGCCUGGUAGUGGGGGAUAACGUCCGGAAACGGGCGCUAAUACCGCAUACGUCCUGAGGGAGAAAGUGGGGGAUCUUCGGACCUCACGCUAUCAGAUGAGCCUAGGUCGGAUUAGCUAGUUGGUGGGGUAAAGGCCUACCAAGGCGACGAUCCGUAACUGGUCUGAGAGGAUGAUCAGUCACACUGGAACUGAGACACGGUCCAGACUUCUACGGGAGGCAGCAGUGGGGAAUAUUGGACAAUGGGCGAAAGCCUGAUCCAGCCAUGCCGCGUGUGUGAAGAAGGUCUUCGGAUUGUAAAGCACUUUAAGUUGGGAGGAAGGGCAGUAAGUUAAUACCUUGCUGUUUUGACGUUACCAACAGAAUAAGCACCGGCUAACUUCGU